Molecule: long non-coding RNA, 1145 nt
Filed under: Phascolarctos cinereus (koala)
Lineage: Eukaryota; Metazoa; Chordata; Mammalia; Diprotodontia; Phascolarctidae
Description: lncRNA (ENSPCIG00000036439.1)
Source: RNAcentral
GAUUUCUGCUCCAACCCUCCCAACCUCACCCCCAAAGAGACAGCAAUCCAAAGACAUACCAGCCCCCACCUAACACUCACGCCCAUAGAACACGAUCCUCAUUUCCAAAGGCCAAAAGAGGGGGAAAGAGGAAGGGGCAACGCCCAGAUCCCACCCCGAUUCCUAUAAAGCCUCUACCUAAGGUGGGUCAUAUAAAGGCGCCGGACUGUCAGGGCCAACGGGGAGGGCCAAGAGAAAUAGAGACAAAUGAGAGACCUAGACCAUGGAACCUAAAUAAGGGAAGGAGGAGGAAAGGAUGGGUGAAGAGACUGGGCAGUGCAGGAGAGACAUAGAAAAAGGUAAGAGUGGUGGUCCAAGUAGAAGGAGACGAUCUGCAGGAGAAAAACCGGUCCAGGCUUAAGAGAGACGGGAAAUCCUGAGCCGAGAAAAGCAGCACGCAGCUGGGAGGAGUAAGCGUGAGAGCCGGCUCCACACACAUCCCCAAGAUCUGGCAGUCACCUGCACACGGUAGGCGCUUAGGGUCUGCUUCUAUUUGCAGGGAAAGGAGCUGGGGAAAGGUAGAUUCCUCCACAGCGAAAACGGGCAGAGAGGAGAGAUGGGGAGCGGAGGGCGAGAUGGAGCAGCAGGCCCGGAGAAGACGGGAAGGGAGGAGGGAAAGGCAGGGGGUGGGUAGGAGAAGGAAGGGAAGAGGGAGGGGGAGAGACGAGACAGACAGACGGAGGGAGGCCGAGAGAAUGGCAGAGACAGACGGACGGGGGAGGGAGACGAGACAGACAGAAACAGAGAGAAGAACCAGAGGAACAGACUCAACGACAGAAAAUGGGAAGGAGAGGGAGCGGGGGGGCAGAGCGGGGAGAGGCACGGCAGCCCGCGCGCAGCGGCCGGGGCCAGGGGAAGGAGGAGCCGGGCAAACGAGCGCGGCCGGGCAGGCCCCGCAGCACAGGGCAGGGGCGGCAGACGCCGCUCACUCACCGCUCUGCUCCCCCAGGAACACCAGCUUGAAUUUCCUCAGGGGGUUUCCGAAGUCCCCUCCAGCAGACAUGAUGGAGCCGGAGCUGGAGCCGGAGCCGCCGCCUCAGCCCAGCGAUCUCCUCAGGCCCCGUGGGCUCCCCACAGCCCCACACACGGCGUUUCCGGUUGUCUAG